RNAcentral lists this unclassified non-coding RNA (328 nucleotides) under plant metagenome. RNAcentral describes it as "partial contains 5.8S ribosomal RNA, internal transcribed spacer 2, and large subunit ribosomal RNA". The stretch from base 1 to 105 matches the Rfam family "5.8S ribosomal RNA", at positions 50 to 154 of the family's 154-position model. The record is from RNAcentral.
GAAAUGCGAUAAGUAAUGUGAAUUGCAGAAUUCCGUGAAUCAUCGAAUCUUUGAACGCACAUUGCGCCCUCUGGUAUUCCGGGGGGCAUGCCUGUCCGAGCGUCAUUGCGAACCCCUCAAGCACGGCUUGUGUGAUGGGCCCUCCCGCGUCUUGGUCGUCAAGACGGGCCCGAAAUGCAGUGGCGGCUUCGCGGUUAUCCGAUCAGCCAGAGCGUAUGGGGACUCUCUCUCUGUCACACGCCCGCGGCGCGGACCGACGCCUGUCGACCUUUAUUCAUCUCUUCCCGGUUGACCUCGGAUCAGGUAGGGAUACCCGCUGAACUUAAGC